GGCCCAUUAGCUCAAUUUGGCAGAGCAAUUGACUCUUAAUCAAUGUGUUCUGGGUUCGAGUCCCAGAUGGGUCACAA
RNAcentral lists this transfer RNA (77 nucleotides) under Flexilinea flocculi. RNAcentral's name for it is "tRNA-Lys". It matches the Rfam family "tRNA". From Rfam's summary of the family: Transfer RNA (tRNA) molecules are approximately 80 nucleotides in length. Their secondary structure includes four short double-helical elements and three loops (D, anti-codon, and T loops). Further hydrogen bonds mediate the characteristic L-shaped molecular structure. tRNAs have two regions of fundamental functional importance: the anti-codon, which is responsible for specific mRNA codon recognition, and the 3' end, to which the tRNAs corresponding amino acid is attached (by aminoacyl-tRNA synthetases). tRNAs cope with the degeneracy of the genetic code in two manners: having more than one tRNA (with a specific anti-codon) for a particular amino acid; and 'wobble' base-pairing, i.e. permitting non-standard base-pairing at the 3rd anti-codon position. Lineage: Bacteria; Bacillati; Chloroflexota; Anaerolineae; Anaerolineales; Anaerolineaceae. The record is from RNAcentral.